UAAAAUAUAAGGAGAGAAAGAGAAAGAGAGAGAAGCUAAGCUGCCAUAAUAUUGUAUGGUAGUUUUGCAGCUAAAGAUUCAAACACAAAGUGAAUAGUAGAGAACCUCUGUAACAACAAAAGAAGAGGAAGAAGAAGAAACUAGUAGUCUUUCUGUGAAUGGAAGGAAUCAUGCAGUUGUAACGAUUGUAUUAGGAGUCUUUCUGUAAUUGGAAGGAAUCAUGCAGUUGUAACCAUUGUUUUGUUUGGUUUUAACUUUUGUUUACCUCACACUGUAGUAUAAUCUUGGGAUUUAGCUGUUUUCAGCAAAUCUUUGGUUUCUUCUGAAGCUGAGCUGUUCUUUUGGUUCUUUUCUUAGUUAAACUCUUCCUCCUCCUCCUUCUUCUCCACUAUCUUCACUCCAAACUUGAGUUGCAAAAAUGAUGUCUGAUGAUGGACUUUCUUUCAUUCAAGAUCCAAACCCUAGUAAUAAUCCAAACCCUAAUUCAAAUCCAUCUUCCAAGAGAAAACGAAACCUACCUGGAAAACCAGGUAAUUCAUUUAGCAAGUUUUAUAUCAAGACUUAUCUUUUCUUGCUUUCCUCAUAAUUGGUUUUCUUUUAAUUUUAUGUUGAACAGAUCCAGAUGCAGAAGUGAUAGCGCUAUCACCCAAGUCACUGAUGGCAACGAAUCGAUUCAUAUGUGAAAUCUGCAAUAAGGGUUUUCAAAGGGACCAGAAUUUGCAGCUCCACAGAAGAGGUCACAACCUACCAUGGAAGCUCAAGCAAAGAAGC
Molecule: long non-coding RNA, 771 nt
Filed under: Nicotiana benthamiana
Lineage: Eukaryota; Viridiplantae; Streptophyta; Magnoliopsida; Solanales; Solanaceae
Description: long non-coding RNA (NBEN_LNC010100)
Source: RNAcentral